AGCGGCGGAUGGGUGAGUAACACGUGGGGAACCUGCCCCUAAGUCUGGGAUACCAUUUGGAAACAGGUGCUAAUACCGGAUAAUAAAGCAGAUCGCAUGAUCAGCUUUUGAAAGGCGGCGUAAGCCGUCGCUAAGGGAUGGCCCCGCGGUGCAUUAGCUAGUUGGUAAGGUAACGGCUUACCAAGGCGACGAUGCAUAGCCGAGUUGAGAGACUGAUCGGCCACAUUGGGACUGAGACACGGCCCAAACUCCUACGGGAGGCAGCAGUAGGGAAUCUUCCACAAUGGACGCAAGUCUGAUGGAGCAACGCCGCGUGAGUGAAGAAGGUUUUCGGAUCGUAAAGCUCUGUUGUUGGUGAAGAAGGAUAGAGGUAGUAACUGGCCUUUAUUUGACGGUAAUCAACCAGAAAGUCACGGCUAACUACGUGCCAGCAGCCGCGGUAAUACGUAGGUGGCAAGCGUUGUCCGGAUUUAUUGGGCGUAAAGCGAGCGCAGGCGGAAAAAUAAGUCUAAUGUGAAAGCCCUCGGCUUAACCGAGGAACUGCAUCGGAAACUGUUUUUCUUGAGUGCAGAAGAGGAGAGUGGAACUCCAUGUGUAGCGGUGGAAUGCGUAGAUAUAUGGAAGAACACCAGUGGCGAAGGCGGCUCUCUGGUCUGCAACUGACGCUGAGGCUCGAAAGCAUGGGUAGCGAACAGGAUUAGAUACCCUGGUAGUCCAUGCCGUAAACGAUGAGUGCUAAGUGU
RNAcentral lists this ribosomal RNA (743 nucleotides) under uncultured bacterium. RNAcentral describes it as "bacterial SSU rRNA". It matches the Rfam family "Bacterial small subunit ribosomal RNA", at positions 94 to 823 of the family's 1533-position model. The record is from RNAcentral.